AGCGGGUCUUUUGGGGUUAUAUAUCUUGCUACCCACAUCGAAACUUUUGAGAUUGUUGCUGUUAAAAUUGAAAAUAGGCAGACAAGACACCCUCAGUUGCUUUAUGAGGCAAAGCUGUACACUAUACUUCAGGGAGGAAGUGGUAUUCCUAAUAUAAAAUGGCGUGGGGUUGAUGGGAAUGACAGUGUCCUCAUUAUUGAUUUGCUUGGUCCCAGUCUUGAAGACCUCGUUGUACACUGUGGGAGGAAAUUCUCGCUGAAAACUGUUCUAAUGUUGGCUGAUCAGACGAUUACGAGAAUAGAGUAUUUGCAUUCAAAAGGAUUUCUACAUAGAGACAUAAAACCUGAUAACUUCCUCAUGGGUCUUGGCAGGAAGGCAAACCAGGUCUAUGUUAUUGAUUUUGGACUUGCAAAAAGAUAUCGUGACCCCACCACAAGCCGUCAUAUUCCUUACAGAGAGAACAAGAACUUGACAGGGACAGCAAGGUAUGCCAGUUGCAAUACACAUUUGGGAAUAGAGCAAAGUCGGAGGGAUGAUCUGGAAUCUCUUGGCUACGUUCUUUUAUAUUUCUUGAGAGGCAGCCUUCCAUGGCAGGGUUUAAAAGCUGAUACAAAGAAGCAAAAAUAUGACAAGAUCCGUGAGAAAAAAGUAUCAACAACAAUUGAGGUUUUAUGCAAAUCUCUUCCAGUGGAGUUUGCUUCAUACUUGCAUUAUUGUCACUCUUUAACAUUUGACCAGCGCCCUGAUUACGGAUUCCUGAAACGCUUGUUUCGUGACUUAUUUACACGUGAAGGGUAUAAAAUGGAUUAUGUGUUUGAUUGGACUAUCUUGAAGUAUCCCCAGAUCGGCUCCAGUUCAAGAGCACGACAACCUAUUGCAAGAUUACCUGUGAAUCCGGGACCAUCCAUUGAAAGACCAGAAAAGAUCCCUGUGAGGCAGGAAAUCAAAGAUAGGUUUUCUGGUGCUGUGGAGGCGUUUUCUAGAAGGAACGUGUCUGGAACUGGUUUGCAAGGGGACCAUUUGAGACAUCACAGAUCAUCUGACGAUGUACCAUCAUCUAAGGAUGUGCAAGCUGAUGCUGAAAGAGGCCGUGUAUCUCGGACUGGUAGCACCUCGAGGAGGGCUGUAAUGGGAAGCAGCCGGCCCAGCUCAUCUGGCGAACCCACUGACAAUCGCUCUGGUCGCUUAGGUUCAAGCAGCGGCCGCAUUUCCACUACCCAAAGAGUACAACCUGGAUUUGAAUCCAAGUCUUCAUCUUUUACCCGCGCUACUGCAACUAGAGGGGG
This 1286-nucleotide unclassified non-coding RNA is filed under the name Hevea brasiliensis (rubber tree). The record is from RNAcentral. Lineage: Eukaryota; Viridiplantae; Streptophyta; Magnoliopsida; Malpighiales; Euphorbiaceae.